RNAcentral lists this long non-coding RNA (1056 nucleotides) under Lonchura striata (white-rumped munia). Its description in RNAcentral is "domestica (Bengalese finch) lncRNA (ENSLSDG00000003955.1)". The record is from RNAcentral. Lineage: Eukaryota; Metazoa; Chordata; Aves; Passeriformes; Estrildidae.
GGGGGGGUUUGGGGAUUCUGGAAGGGAUUUUGGGGAAUCUGGAAGGGAUUUUGGGGAAUCUGGAAGGGAUUUUGGGGAUUCUGGAAGGGAUUUUGGGGAAUCUGGAAGGGAUUUUGGGGAUUCUGGAAGGGAUUUUGGGGAUUCUAGAAGGGAUUUGGGGACCCCCAGGGGGAUAUUGGGGAUUCUGGAAGGGAUUUUGGGGAAUCUGGAAGGGAUUUUGGGGAUUCCGGAAGGGAUUUUGGGGAAUCUGGAAGGGAUUUUGGGGAUUCUGGAAGGGAUUUUGGGGAUUCUGGAAGGGAUUUUGGGGAAUCUGGAAGGGAUUUUGGGGAUUCCGGAAGGGAUUUUGGGGAAUCUGGAAGGGAUUUUGGGGACCCCCAGGGGGAUUUUGGGGAUUCUGGAAGGGAUUUUGGGGACCCCCAGGGGGAUUUUGGGGACAUCUGAAGGGGUUUGGGGAUUCUGGAAGGGAUUUGGGGACCCCCAGGGGGAUUUUGGGGAUUCUGGAAGGGAUUUUGGGGAUUCUGGAAGAGAUUUGGGGACCCCCAGGGGGAUUUUGGGGAUUCUGGAAGGGAUUUUGGGGAUUCCCGAAGGGAUUUUGGGGAUUCUGGAAGGGAUUUGGGGACCCCCAGGGGGAUUUUGGGGACAUCUGAAGGGGUUUGGGGAUUCUGGAAGAGAUUUGGGGACCCCCAGGGAGAUUUUGGGGAUUCCGGAAGGGAUUUUGGGGAUUCCAGAAGGGAUUUUGGGGACAUCUGAAGGAGUUUUGGGACCCCUGAAGGGAUUUUGGGACCCCCAGGUGGAUUUUGGGGAUCCCUGAACGGUUUUGGGGACCCCCAGGGGGAUUUCGGAAGGGAUUUUGGGGACCCCUGAAGGGAUUUUGGGACCGCCGGGUGAUUCCGGGGGGUCCCGAGCGGAUUCUGGGGGGUCCCGGGCGGAUUUUGGGGGUCCCGGGCGGGUUUUGGGGGGUCCCGGGCGGAUUCUGGGGGGUCCCGGGCGGAUUUUGGGGGUCCCGGGCGGAUUNNNNNNNNNNNNNNNNNNNNNNNNNNNNNNNNNNNNNNNNNN